GUGCUCACUAAAGCACAUGAAUUAAAAUUGGAAUGAUAUAGAGAUUAGCAUGGUUCCUGCACAAGGAUAAUGUGCAAAUCUGGGAAAUGUUCCAUUUUUUU
RNAcentral lists this small nuclear RNA (101 nucleotides) under Catagonus wagneri (Chacoan peccary). The record is from RNAcentral. Lineage: Eukaryota; Metazoa; Chordata; Mammalia; Artiodactyla; Tayassuidae.